CGCGUCUCCCGAUCACCCUCUGGCCCUCCCUCCUUUUCUCUUCCGUAUCCGCAUCUAAACCCGACGGCUGACCAGCUCCUCCUCCUCCGCUCCCGCCUCCGCGCGGAGUCAGGGAUGGGAUUCCUCUACAUGAGCCGCGGCAAGGAUUGGAUACUGCUCGCAUCCCACAAGCAACUCCAAUCAGUAGCCAUGCUUCGUGUCUCCUCUCUCUGAGCCAGCCAUGAUUGGUUGAGGAGGAGAAGGAUGCGGGCUGCGCCCGAUGCUUGUUGGACUCGACGCAAGCGGCGGCGGCGGCGUGGCUCGCAUGCCUGCAUGGGCACAUGGCGGCGUUCGUUUCUUACUGCUGCUUCGCCCGCGGAGAAUCCAAGCACUGAAGGCAGAAGAAUCCGCUGAACUGAUCCACUGCAACGCCUGCUUCACCGAUGCCUUCAUGUCCUAUUUGCUCACCUCCAAUCUGAUUCAAGUAAUGAAACUAGACCCGCACUCAGUAAGAUUUUGACUAUGCUGGUUUAAUCAGAUGGCCAUUGAUUCAUGUGUUACUUCUACAGAACAUAGUUUUUUUAGCAGUAGUGAUUUUGUGAAGUCCCGCAUUAUGUGACAUAUAUAGUUCAAUGGGAAUAACUUGGAAACCAUUUUUUAUGUAAACACAUUUCUGAUAUUUUAACUUAACAGGUAUAUUGCACUGACUGGCUUUUUUCAUGCUCCAUUUUGUUUGCAUUUGCAUCUGGUUAAAUAUAGUAAUUCCAUUUUGAUUAAAUCAAAAUGAGUUGUGAUGUCUUCUGUUCAAGUGACUGUUCAUAAAUAUGUUUGGUCUGACCACGGAGAACACAGAACAGAAGGCAUACAAUUAGGUAGCCAUUGAUUGUCCUAACCAGCAUGCACGUGCAUUAUAUCUUGCAAAAUAUAUUUGAGAUGCUUGCCUGACUUUUAGUUUGUUCAUUGUGGCCUCAUCUGUUCAUGUGUUUUGGUAUCUAUUUUGUCAUGUAACCUAGGACAGCCUCCAUUUGGAAUAUAAAACUUCAUAUUUUCCUUUUGAUGCAUUUUUGUGUCUUUUAAUUUAUUGUGACUGCAAUCUGUAUUCAAUGCCAUGUUGGGUUCCUACAUUUGUAUUCUUCCAUUUGCUAUCUCAUGCCUUAUUUAGGAGCUUCUUAUGAUUAUGGAUCUCUUUUAUUUAUGAUAAAUAAUGUGGAUCAUUCAUAAGAUUUCUGCCUCCAUUGUUAGGUAGUUAGAUUUUCAUUCCACAAUGGUUACAUUGGACACCUCACUAGCUUCCUUUGAAAGAAGAAGAGAAUUAUAUAUAGCCUGUGACUUGGCUAAUGUUUGUAAAAUGAAUAAAUGACUACAAUUAGCGAAGAAGGAAAACCAGUUGCUGUUUGAUAGUACGUCAGUAGCAAACAUAAAUAUAAAAUAUCAUCUAUCUGUUGUAAAACUGUUAUGCAUAACUCUUGCCAGUGCAUCAGUAUGACUACCUCUUUUUUUUUGGCAUUUGCAUUAAAAUCUUGGAAGUCUGGAAACGUGGUUCCGGCUGCAAAUUAGUAAUUUAGUAGCCUGGUUAACUAGGCUGCUGGGUUCCAGAAAAUACUACGUAUUAUCAAAUCAUGGUAGCCAUAGUUUUCCUUUCUUUUCUUACAUCUGAACUAUUUCAAAAAUGUCUCACCAAACAGAAUAUCCUUCAGCUACACAUGUGCUAAUUCCUUCUUCCAUCAGUAGGAUAGCUAUGGAAGCAAUUGCACAGACACAAGAACGACAAGGUAAUGUGUUCUAGCACUACUUGUUUUAGAUCAACUGAACCUCUUGCAUCCCUAUGUCGAAAGUUGUCCUAUGUGCAGAAGGAUCCAUUGGUAGGAGCAAAAAGAAAAGAGUAAACAUCGGUAUACACAACUAAAUUGCUGCUUUGAUGGCUCCACAUUAACCUCUUGAACUCUUGCCCCGCAGCUAGAAUACCUGGUGGUCAGAUACUCUGAUGAUCUCAAGUUAAAAGGCCCUGGGAUUAUAUAAGAAGAUAGUUAUGUGAAGGUUUUUAAGGUGUCCUAAAAGCUUAAUCAAGACUGCGGGGCAUUGACUGUCUCUUACGGUUAUACUACGAAUAUUACGCAUUCAUGUAGCACUUGCUUAUUGUCACGAUUGACCAUUAUAUGCAUUGUCAAGAAAUUAAUGUAUUUUUAUUGGCUUCUUUUUAA
Molecule: long non-coding RNA, 2180 nt
Organism: Panicum virgatum (switchgrass)
Lineage: Eukaryota; Viridiplantae; Streptophyta; Magnoliopsida; Poales; Poaceae
Exons: 3
Source: RefSeq, a predicted model, not a curated record